This 215-nucleotide long non-coding RNA is filed under the name Lathyrus oleraceus (garden pea). RNAcentral describes it as "Pisum sativum (pea) long non-coding RNA (PSAT_LNC033214)". The record is from RNAcentral. Lineage: Eukaryota; Viridiplantae; Streptophyta; Magnoliopsida; Fabales; Fabaceae.
UUUUUGUUUUCAAUUGCUUUGAUUAUAAGUUAUAUCUGAUAAUGCAUGAUUUCGUUAUAUUUUUGUUUUCAAUUGCUUUGAUUAUAAGUUAUAUCUGAUAAUGCAUGAUUUCUUUAUUUUUUUGUUUUCAAUUGCUUUGAUUAUAAGUUAUAUUUGAUAUUUGAUGGUUUCCUUGGUUUAUUACAGGUUAGACAUGGCUGAUGACCAACAUGAGG